RNAcentral lists this ribosomal RNA (430 nucleotides) under uncultured bacterium. RNAcentral describes it as "bacterial SSU rRNA". It matches the Rfam family "Bacterial small subunit ribosomal RNA", at positions 355 to 776 of the family's 1533-position model. The record is from RNAcentral.
UGGGGAAUCUUGCGCAAUGGGCGAAAGCCUGACGCAGCAACGCCGUGUGAGCGAUGAAGGCCCUCGGGUCGUAAAGCUCUGUCGGGAGGAAAGAUGGUUAUUAGGGUUAAUACCCCUAGUGAUUGACGGUACCUCCAAAGGAAGCACCGGCUAACUCUGUGCCAGCAGCCGCGGUAAUACAGAGGGUGCAAGCGUUGUUCGGAAUCAUUGGGCGUAAAGCGCGCGUAGGCGGUUUCAUAAGUCUGAUGUGAAAGCCCGGGGCUCAACCUCGGAAGUGCAUCGGAAACUGUGUGACUAGAGUCCCGGAGGGGGUGGUGGAAUUCCUGGUGUAGAGGUGAAAUUCGUAGAUAUCAGGAGGAACACCGGUGGCGAAGGCGACCACCUGGACGGUGACUGACGCUGAGGUGCGAAAGCGUGGGUAGCAAACAGG